This is a long non-coding RNA of Mirounga angustirostris (Northern elephant seal), 1017 nucleotides long. RefSeq lists it as uncharacterized. The transcript is spliced from 2 exons. Lineage: Eukaryota; Metazoa; Chordata; Mammalia; Carnivora; Phocidae. The record is from RefSeq and is a predicted model, not a curated record.
CCCUGCCAGGGGUGGGGGUGGGGUGGGGGGGAGGGCGCGGCGGGGGUGGUCCUGAUGUCUCAGCGCCCCCACCUGGCUCACCUCCAUCACCUCCUUCUGAUUCCGCCUCACCUCAGCCACCGGCCAGCCUCCUUCCCCAAUUCGGGGACACCCGGAGAGGUGGGCGAGGUGGAGUCCGAGCUCCCUGUCCCAGAGGAGGGGGCUCUGUCCUCCCAUCCCUCCACCUAGUGUCCCACUAUCAUGGAUGCCAGGCCCCGGGGGGGGGGGUAGAGUGUGCUUGGGGCUCCGGCGGCUGUGGGAGGGGAAAAGGGCACCGGGGGAGGCUUGUUUGUGGGGGUUGACUCACCCUCCUUCUCACUUCUCUGUGGCAUUUGACCUGCUGCCCACCCUUCCACCUCUAGAUGGCCUCCUUCCUCCUCCUCUCCUCCUCCCUCAUGGUCACGCAUCCUAGCCUGUCCCGGCUGUGACCUCUGUCCUCUGUGCCCCACUGGCUGGCCGUGACCCUGCUCCUCGGCCCCCACAGCUUUCCCUUCUCAUUUCCCCCCUCAGUUUUUUUUUUUUUUUUUUUAAAUCAGGUGAGACUUUCCUUAGGCCCCUGGGAGGAGACUCAGACACAGGCUCUCCCCCAACAGACCCCUCCUCCAGGAAGCCUGCCUGGAAUGUUUUCUCUUUUCAGCCCGACUGAGCUCAUCCAGCGCCUCGGACACUUAAACAUACUGGCUGUCUCAGGUGCGCUCUGUUCACUAUACCCCUGCCAUGGAGGAGUCUGGCAAACAGCCUGGCCAAGUCUGAGAGUCGAUCUCCAAACAGGGCAGUUCAGCACAUGAGGGAGGGAGCCAGGUUUUCAACAAGAUGCAGACUUAGAAGUUGAAAUUACCCGCUUCUGCUUGGACCCCUCCAGCAAUGGGGAGCUCACUCCAAGACACUCUGCGACCCUACGGCUCCCUUCAGCUGGGCUAAUGAUUACCCCUUGUUUUUCUGUUUGUUUUUACCUUUUGGGGGCUUCAGUUGACGGCC